RNAcentral lists this ribosomal RNA (460 nucleotides) under uncultured bacterium. RNAcentral's name for it is "partial 16S ribosomal RNA". It matches the Rfam family "Bacterial small subunit ribosomal RNA", at positions 338 to 795 of the family's 1533-position model. The record is from RNAcentral.
CCUACGUGAGGCAGCAGUGAGGAAUAUUGGUCAAUGGGCGCGAGCCUGAACCAGCCAAGUAGCGUGAAUGAUGACUGCCCUACGGGUUGUAAACUUCUUUUAUAAAGGAAUAAAGUGAGGCACGUGUGCCUUUUUGUAUGUACUUUAUGAAUAAGGCUCGGCUAACUCCGUGCCAGCAGCCGCGGUAAUACGGAGGAACCGAGCGUUAUCCGGAUUUAUUGGGGUUAAAGGGAGCGUAGAUGGGUUGUUAAGUCAGUUGUGAAAGUUUGCGGCUCAACCGUAAAAUUGCAGUUGAUACUGGCAGUCUUGAGUACAGUUGAGGUAGGCGGAAUUCGUGGUGUAGCGGUGAAAUGCUUAGAUAUCACGAAGAACUCCGAUUGCGAAGGCAGCUUACUAAACUGCCACUGACAUUGAUGCUCGAAAGUGUGGGUAUCAAACAGGAUUAGAUACCCGUGUAGUC